This 301-nucleotide ribosomal RNA is filed under the name uncultured bacterium. RNAcentral's name for it is "bacterial SSU rRNA". It matches the Rfam family "Bacterial small subunit ribosomal RNA", at positions 335 to 651 of the family's 1533-position model. The record is from RNAcentral.
CCUCCCUACGGGAGGCAGCAGUGGGGAAUAUUGCACAAUGGGGGAAACCCUGAUGCAGCAACGCCGCGUGAAGGAAUACGGUUUCCGGAUUGUAAACUUCUGUUCUUAGUGAAGAAGAAUGACGGUAGCUAAGGAGCAAGCCAAGGCUAACUACGUGCCAGCAGCCGCGGUAAUACGUAGGUGGCAAGCGUUGUCCGGAAUUACUGGGUGUAAAGGGAGCGCGGGCGGGAAGCCAAGUCAGCUGUGAAAACUACGGGCUUAACUUGUAGACUGCAGUUGAAACUGGUUGUCUUGAGUGAAG